This 378-nucleotide ribosomal RNA is filed under the name uncultured bacterium. RNAcentral's name for it is "bacterial SSU rRNA". It matches the Rfam family "Bacterial small subunit ribosomal RNA", at positions 521 to 896 of the family's 1533-position model. The record is from RNAcentral.
UAAGACGUAGGGGGCGAGCGUUGUCCGGAUUUAUUGGGCGUAAAGCGUGCGUAGGCGGCUGCGCAAGUCGGGUGUGAAACCCCGGGGCUCAACCCCGGAACUGCAUCCGAUACUGCGUGGCUAGAGGUAGGUAGGGGAGAUCGGAAUUCCUGGUGUAGCGGUGAAAUGCGCAGAUAUCAGGAGGAACACCGGUGGCGAAGGCGGAUCUCUGGGCCUUACCUGACGCUCAGGCACGAAAGCUAGGGGAGCGAACAGGAUUAGAUACCCUGGUAGUCCUAGCCGUAAACGUUGGGUGCUAGGUGUGGGCGGAUAUCGACCCCGUCCGUGCCGAAGCUAACGCAUUAAGCACCCCGCCUGGGGAGUACGGCCGCAAGGCUA